UGCUGCAAAACACGAAUGGUCC
This 22-nucleotide non-coding RNA is filed under the name Arabidopsis thaliana (thale cress). The record is from RNAcentral. Lineage: Eukaryota; Viridiplantae; Streptophyta; Magnoliopsida; Brassicales; Brassicaceae.